CCAAGGAGUCUAACAUGUGCGCGAGUCACUCGGUCUUGUUUAGGCCAGAGAGGCGCAAUGAAAGUAAAGUUGAUUGAGUUACGAUCCCUAUGCGGUUACUCCUAGUGGGUAACGGUGGGGCGCAGUAACAGCCCGCUAAUUUCGCUUAUUGACGAUCUGGCGGAGUUGUAGCGUACACGUUGGUACCCGAAAGAUGGUGAACUAUGCCUGGGCAAGACGAAGCCAGAGGAAACUCUGGUGGAGGUCUGUAGCGAUUCUGACGUGCAAAUCGAUCGUCAGACCUGGGUAUAGGGGCGAAAGACUAAUCGAACCAUC
Molecule: ribosomal RNA, 315 nt
Filed under: Galumna lanceata
Lineage: Eukaryota; Metazoa; Arthropoda; Arachnida; Sarcoptiformes; Galumnidae
Description: eukaryotic LSU rRNA
Rfam family: Eukaryotic large subunit ribosomal RNA
Source: RNAcentral